UGUUAAUUUGUCAUCUGAAUUGCAUAUUAAAUUCGGUCCAUCGAUUGUUGAUGUUUAGUAAAAGAUGCUAACGUACGUCACGAUGUUAAACUUUAAAAACAAAAGUUAGUCUGCUAAGUAAUAUAAUUGACUUCAUAUAAAAUAUGGAGGCGUUCGGUUACCUAAUCAUUAAGAGUCAUUUUGAAUAUUAUGUCGCUGUCGGAUUUGUAAUUUUGUAAAAAACAAAUCUGUGUUUUAGCAGAUAUACCAACACUUGCAUCCAUUACUUUUCUGAAAUUCGAUGGUAUGUACGACAUGAACGUUUAACCAGAAUACGAAAAAUAUGAAAGCUAAGAAAAAUAAGUAACGCAAAGCGUAAAGUGUGGGAUUACUUAAUACAAGUAUAAAUA
Long non-coding RNA from Bradysia coprophila, 389 nucleotides. The record is from RefSeq and is a predicted model, not a curated record. Lineage: Eukaryota; Metazoa; Arthropoda; Insecta; Diptera; Sciaridae.